This 3152-nucleotide long non-coding RNA is filed under the name Capsicum annuum. RNAcentral's name for it is "long non-coding RNA (CANN_LNC002492)". The record is from RNAcentral. Lineage: Eukaryota; Viridiplantae; Streptophyta; Magnoliopsida; Solanales; Solanaceae.
CCUACUCCAUUUGGAUAAAGCAGCUUUUAUCUUCUUCACCUUCUGCUUCCACCUAAGAAAAACACCUGAAUCAUCUCCUGUUACCCAGUGUUCUUUGACAACAUCCAUGAAACCCUCAUGUUCUAUCUAAAACUUGAGAAAUUUGAAAGGUUCAUGGACUUGUGAUUGCUAUUUUCUACAUGUUAACAACAAAGGUGCAUGGUUAGAACCAGUUCUAGCCAGAUGCUACAACUCUAGAUAACCAAAGGCCUUCUGAAAUGGUUGAUUAGCCACCAUUUUAUCUAGCCAUUAAAAAUACAUUAUUUAUCAGUUUUACCAUUCCACUAAGUAAAUGGUCUCUCCUUGAAGGUAAUCUUUUUCAACUCACAAGAGUUUAAGCAAAAAUGCAAAAUCUUCAUAUUCUGCAAGAUAUACAGGCAAUCCUCCUAAUAUCUUCAUUCAUAAUAACAUUAAAAUCACCACCGAGUAGCCAAGUUAAUUGCAUAUUGCUGGCCAGUCCAUAAAUAUCAUCCCAGAGAUCCAGUCUAUCAAGUGUAGUACACUUUGCCAACACUACAAUAACAAAGAAGCUCUGGUCAUUGUCUUGUAAAUUUAGCUUCAUGGUUAUCUGUUGAGAAUUGUCUGAUAAGAGUUCAACUGAUACACUAUCAUUAAUAAAUAACCAUAUCUUCCCAUUUUGAUUAUAUGUAGCUGACUUCAUGCCUAGUCUUCUUUUAUAUUUUUCAGUGUGUCUUGAAUCUUGAAAAGGUUCAGUUAAAGCUAUCAAACUGAACUUAUGGUGUCUCUGGAGAAUUUGAACUCUAUGAAAGACAUGUUAUGUAUUAACAUACCUUAUGUUCCAUAUUAGAGUCUUCAUUAUUAUCAUUGAGAAAUUGGUUUGGGUCCCCUUCAAAGACCAACUCUUGUAGGUUGUGGCACCUCACUACCCUUUACUUUAGAUCUUUUGGCCUUGUAAACUGAUGUCUUCCUGUCUUGUAACAUGUUCCAAAUUUUUAUUAUUGUCUGCUUCGUCUUUAUCCUCUAAUAAAACUGUUUUCUUUUUUUAGGACUGUUGAUUUGCCCAAAAGUGUGUUCUUUUUUUAAGACUGUUGAUUUGCCCUUUCUCCUAAUGUGAGACAAUAGCCUGAAGAAGAAGGGAGGGGACCUACAUAAGAAGCUAAUGUGUACUGUUACUAACCAUUAUAGCCCAUCCAUCCCCUUCCCCUUGUGUUGGGACUGUAAUCUGUUGUACUAUAUCAUUCAUGUCUGCAUUAAUAUAUGUAAUUAGCUCAUCUGUUGAAGGUAUUAAGUAUUGAUCUGUGUGAACUGAUUCUGCAUUCUUUCUUGCAACAGCUUCAACAUCUUCUCCACCUUUGAUUACCUCACCUUGUUGAUUAUUUUCAUCUUUUCCUAAAUUUUCUGGUGAUUCUCUUCUUUCCCUCCAACCUAUUUCAUCUAAUUACUUUUCCUGGGAGUGAGUUGCUUGAUAAAAAUCAUUCUCCAUGCACUUCUUAGUUUGAUUGGAAUUCUUCUCCUGAAAUGAAUUUGCUUCACUUGUGUUCUCUGUGUGUUGAUUAUGUGUUCUCUGUGUGUUGAUUAUUUGUGUAAUUCUCCAUUUGCUUCAAUUGCUGCCUUUGUUUAUUAAUAUCAUCCAUAACUUUAUUUUUAUUACUGACAUGUUGUAUGUUUUCAUUCUUAUUAGUUGGAAGCUUCUGAAUAUUUUUGAUCACUCACACCAUUUUUGAAGCCAUAUCAUUUUCCAAACCAUCAACUUUUUCUCCUUUGGCUGAACUCUGAAGCUUCCUUCCUAUAAGUAUCACAUAUAUUUGCACCUAUAGUUGUCCCUUUGUUUUCUCUAUCAUCAUCAUGAAUAGACUCCAAGGCUGCAAAUUGAUUUUGUGAAUCAAUAUUACCAUCGGUAUUGUUUGGCACCUGUGAGCUUUGGUUUACUUUUGCUUUCCCUUUCUUUUUGCAACUCUAUUCCAGUCUUACGAAUUCCCAACAAUUUUUUCACUUAAUCUUCUAGGAAAGCAACCAGUUGGUUAUGGUUGUUGGGGUUUAUUUUAUUUCAUUUGAGUAGACGUGUUAUUACUUGCUGCCUACAAAUUUGUUGGUUCCAUGUUAUCUUCUGCCUCUGUGCUGAUUCGGUAUGAAUCACCCUGCACUCAUACCUAUUAGGACCUCGUAAUUUGCUGUUCAUUGCAAUAUUUUGGCAAGGAGUCAUACUGGAAAUUUACUUUGACAGUCCUUAUAGCACUUGUAGAUUCAUCUUCAAUGUCCAUUCUCACAUGAUCAGGGAGUUUUGUUGAUUGUUGUCAUAUCCAAGUGUAGAGGAGUCCCAACAGCAGAGCCUAACGAGAACAAUGACUCCUUCAAAAAAGAGUAGGUAGCACGUUGGGAAAUGAUAUCCAGGGCAUAGCCAUAGUUGUUCUUCUGCAGUAAACUUUGAGUCAUAUAUCAGCAGUAUCGUCUGAUAAAGAGGCACAAUCCUUAGAUUUUAUAUAAAAAGCAGUCUUUGAUGUCAAAUUAUUGGAAUCAUCCGUUAGUGAAAGUCUAAUCAGAAUAUGCCUAUUUCUGAGGUAUCCAAUCUGACAAUCUACUUUUAUGUUGCAUUGUACAGGUAUCGUGGUACGCAAUUCUUCCAAUUUGGGCCAGUAUACGAAAAUUUUCCAAAUACCAUACUGUAAAUUUUCAAUGACGUUCAUCUUUGUAACUUCUGAUUCAGACCAUUUUAUGUAUGGUUCCCCAUGCAACAAUGUAAUCAGUUUCAUAGCAAUCGAAGACAUCUUUUUAGGGCAGGCUUGUUGAUUAUUCAAAACAGUUGGUUGCAAAAAUUUUGAGUAAUCAAGGGUGGUGGAUGAGAUGGUAUUAUCUUGUGUGGGUAUUGCAGUUGGUGCGGCUAGUAGGGUUUGGUCAACCUUUGUCUUUGAUAGUUGACCAGUGGUCGACCUGGCCACGGUGGAUUCUGAUGAGAAAGUAAUUAGGGUUCAUGUGCAUGUGGCUAGAGAGGGUUGAGUAAUCAAGGGCGGCAGAUGAUACCGUUUCUUAAGAUGCGUAUCAAGUUGAUAAAGUGUCAAGUUGAUAGUAAGCAAAAGUUGAUACCUUUUGAAUAAGUUUUUUAAGAGGCAUAUAUAUACGAAAAACAAAAAAAGUUAACAAAUAAAUUUAAUAAG